RNAcentral lists this ribosomal RNA (581 nucleotides) under Colletotrichum falcatum. Its description in RNAcentral is "eukaryotic LSU rRNA". The stretch from base 211 to 364 matches the Rfam family "5.8S ribosomal RNA". The record is from RNAcentral. Lineage: Eukaryota; Fungi; Ascomycota; Sordariomycetes; Glomerellales; Glomerellaceae.
UCCGUAGGUGAACCUGCGGAGGGAUCAUUAUCGAGUUACCCGGCUCUUCAACCCCUUUGUGAACAUACCCAACUGUUGCUUCGGCGGGUCGGGGCGCCCUCCCGGGGGCGCCCCCCGGGCCCGGUCCCGCUCGGGGCCGAGCGCCCGCCGGAGGAUCACCCAACUCUAUUUUAACGACGUUUCUUCUGAGUGGCACAAGCAAAUAAUUAAAACUUUUAACAACGGAUCUCUUGGUUCUGGCAUCGAUGAAGAACGCAGCGAAAUGCGAUAAGUAAUGUGAAUUGCAGAAUUCAGUGAAUCAUCGAAUCUUUGAACGCACAUUGCGCCCGCCAGCAUUCUGGCGGGCAUGCCUGUUCGAGCGUCAUUUCAACCCUCAAGCCUCGCUUGGUGUUGGGGCACUACGGUCGACGUAGGCCCUUAAAGGUAGUGGCGGACCCUCCCGGAGCCUCCUUUGCGUAGUAACUAACGUCUCGCAUCGGGAUCCGGAGGGACUCCUGCCGUAAAACCCCCACACUUUUUCUGGUUGACCUCGGAUCAGGUAGGAAUACCCGCUGAACUUAAGCAUAUCAAUAAGCGGAGGA